This 571-nucleotide ribosomal RNA is filed under the name uncultured bacterium. RNAcentral describes it as "bacterial SSU rRNA". It matches the Rfam family "Bacterial small subunit ribosomal RNA", at positions 202 to 794 of the family's 1533-position model. The record is from RNAcentral.
CAAAGGUGAGCCAGUACAGGAUGGACCCGCGUCUGAUUAGCUAGUUGGUAAGGUAACGGCUUACCAAGGCGACGAUCAGUAGCCGACCUGAGAGGGUGAUCGGCCACAUUGGAACUGAGACACGGUCCAAACUCCUACGGGAGGCAGCAGUGGGGAAUAUUGCACAAUGGGCGAAAGCCUGAUGCAGCAACGCCGCGUGAGUGAUGAAGGCCUUCGGGUCGUAAAACUCUGUCCUCAAGGAAGAUAAUGACGGUACUUGAGGAGGAAGCCCCGGCUAACUACGUGCCAGCAGCCGCGGUAAUACGUAGGGGGCUAGCGUUAUCCGGAUUUACUGGGCGUAAAGGGUGCGUAGGCGGUCUUUCAAGUCAGGAGUGAAAGGCUACGGCUCAACCGUAGUAAGCUCUUGAAACUGGGAGACUUGAGUGCAGGAGAGGAGAGUGGAAUUCCUAGUGUAGCGGUGAAAUGCGUAGAUAUUAGGAGGAACACCAGUUGCGAAGGCGGCUCUCUGGACUGUAACUGACGCUGAGGCACGAAAGCGUGGGGAGCAAACAGGAUUAGAUACCCUGGUAGU